This 510-nucleotide long non-coding RNA is filed under the name Mus spicilegus (steppe mouse). Its description in RNAcentral is "lncRNA (ENSMSIG00000027842.1)". The record is from RNAcentral. Lineage: Eukaryota; Metazoa; Chordata; Mammalia; Rodentia; Muridae.
AUGACUAGAGGACCCCGGGAUCUAGGAUUAGCGAUGCAAGCCACCAUUUUACAUAGGUGUUGGGAUUGGAACUCAAGUGCCCGUGCUUGUGCAGGAAGCAUUUUACCCACUGUGUCGUCUCCCCAGCCCUUCACAUGCUGCUUGCUAUGUUUUGACUGGAUCCCAAGUACUGCCCUGCUCAAGGCUAAGUCUCAUUUCCAUCCAAGGGCGAAGGAAGCUAAGGCUGGGAAAGCCAAUAGUACAUAUGCACAGCAAGGACAGAGACACAUUCACCUCCGAGCCAGCAGGGACCCUGAGUGGAGACUCAUCCUGUUGUCAUUCUCUGAGCCUGCAGGAGCUGUAGCAUGGGCUGUUGAAGGUCUGUUCCCUGUCUACAUGGUGUGCUGCAGGGCUGGGUUCUACUCUGGUCACAGUGCCAGGAGCCUCCUAAGUACCAGCAGGCCUUAAGCUACAAACAGAAGUCCACAGUGAAAGGUUGGGUCAUGAGGGAGGACACCAGGCAGAAUUCUU